Molecule: non-coding RNA, 69 nt
Organism: Podarcis lilfordi (Lilford's wall lizard)
Lineage: Eukaryota; Metazoa; Chordata; Lepidosauria; Squamata; Lacertidae
Source: the annotation of a GenBank genome assembly
GGAUAGCUCAGUCUGUAGAGCAUGAGACUCUUAAUCUCAGGGCUGUGGGGUCAAGUCCUGUGUUGGGCA